UACGUAGGGUGCAAGCGUUGUCCGGAAUCAUUGGGCGUAAAGAGCGCGUAGGCGGCCCUGUAAGUCCGCUGUGAAAGUCAAGGGCUCAACCCUUGAAUGCCGGUGGAUACUGCAGGGCUAGAGUCCGGAAGAGGCGAGUGGAAUUCCUGGUGUAGCGGUGAAAUGCGCAGAUAUCAGGAAGAACACCCGUGGCGAAGGCGGUUCUCUGGGACGGUACUGACGCUGAGACGCGAAAGCGUGGGGAGCGAACAGG
RNAcentral lists this ribosomal RNA (253 nucleotides) under uncultured bacterium. RNAcentral describes it as "partial 16S ribosomal RNA". It matches the Rfam family "Bacterial small subunit ribosomal RNA", at positions 524 to 776 of the family's 1533-position model. The record is from RNAcentral.